This 2177-nucleotide long non-coding RNA is filed under the name Musa acuminata (dwarf banana). RNAcentral describes it as "long non-coding RNA (MACU_LNC003147)". Lineage: Eukaryota; Viridiplantae; Streptophyta; Magnoliopsida; Zingiberales; Musaceae. The record is from RNAcentral.
GGAAUCACAAAAGUUUUGGCGAGGUUAGCCCCAAGUCCAAACAGCGCUACAGUAUAGUAUUUGUCAAUGAGCAUAGGAAAUUUCACACCAUUGUCAUAAGCGAUAACGAUAAAGGACACUAAAAGUCAAUACGAAGCUGCUGUUGGUUGCAAGCUACUGAUUUCCGAUUAGAUUACUACCGGCAUGACCAUUAAUCUAAUGCUUGCAGUCCACUUCACUUGAACAUUAAUAAACUAGAGAGGCAAUAAUUCGGCAGCAUGCAUGUGUAUCAAGUACCAUAUGGUGACCAAUUUCUUUAAAGGGAAGACAAGACCGGGGAGCAUACCGAUUCGUUUUUCGCGAUGGUUGAGGGCGAUACGCUUGUAGACGUUCCGCCAGUUGGGGCGGGCGAAGUGGGACUUGACGCGGGUGCCCGACACCACGUCCACCCCGUGCUUGGCGUGGUUGAGCGACUGCAGCAUGGCGAUGAGGGCGGAGCGGGCGUCGCCCUCCUCGUACACGCUGGUGCAGUAGUUGUGCAGCUCGAUCACCCCCUUCUUGUCCGUCUCCGCCACCUCGUUCAUCACCCCCCGGAACCACUCGAACGAGUCCUGCUCCCUCGUCACCCAGUAGAAGUAGGCCCGCCGCGUCCUGAACGACGACGUCGACACCGACACCGACGUCGACGUCGACCCGCCCCUCUUGUGGUGUCCGCUGUUGCUAUUGCUGCCUCCCCCCCGGUUCUCCAGGUCCUGCUCCUCCACGUCCCCCAGCCCCAGCGACUCCAACUGCUUCAUGUUGUUGACGAUGUCCUUGACGAUGCUGAUGAAGGGGGUGGCCCCGAUGCCCAGCCCCACCAGCAGCACCACCUCGUACUUUUUGUAGUCUUGUGCCGGUGCGCCGUAUGGCCCGUCGAUCAGCACCCUCGGAAAGCUGUAGCGUAAUACAAGUGCGAUUAAUCUCUUCGAAACAACCAAUUCUUAUUAAUCCUCUGCAUAUGCCCAACAUCUCCCAUCCCUGCCUCGGUCACCGAGUCCCCAUUUUUCUCGCAACAAGACGAAAGAUCCCGAUCCACGCAACCUUUGGUCGCGUUCAGGAUCUGUCGACUGCAUGUUUGACAUGUGAACUUUGGACCGCCCACCCUCUCAGUUCCCACCCGCCCCUCUAGGGAUGAUGGGCAGUCAAUGCUGACGGUCCCAAUCGUCCCGUACCUUCGCUGCAGAGCAGCAGGCAUAGGGCAGCCAGGCACAUGGCAAGUCCAGCAGAUUCUCGUGAAUAGAGAGAGAGAGAGAGAGAGGCAACGAGGGUCGGGAUGAGCACGACUCACCUUGGAUUCAUCCCAUUGUUGCUGCUAUCACCGUAGUCAGCUCUCAGCAGUCCACUCCUCCCGCCGGUGGGCGGCUGACACACCUGAACAACACCAAGCUUGCGUUACCGACGCCUGUUGAAACCUUCGAAGCCACAUCACCAGAGCACCACAUACCUCCGAGAAAACCAUUUUGAGCUGCCUGGUCCAGUCGCCCAGCGUCCUUAUGUGCACACUGAUGUAGUCGUCUUGCGGAGCCGAGGUGAUGGAGAACGGGUGCCUGUCGCAUACCUUGUUACUACAAUUUGGAGACUGCGAAGGAGGUCUGUCUAAUUGACAUCGAGAUCAGCAUCGAUUAUUACCAUUGGAAGGGGGAGACGGCAGCGCAGUUAACGAAGAUGUACUGCCCGCUUCUGUACUUGAAGCCCUGCGGCUUGGACACAUGCAGCGUCAACACGUUGCCGGGAUACACCGCCACUUUCAGUAUCUUCACCGGCCUCACGCUCGACCUCAAUGCCCUCACCAGCCUUUCGCUCGCGUACAGGAUCACCGGGAUCGCCAGAUACAUCCACGUCUGAUCCACCACAACAUGACACGGAGAUGAUGCUACUUAGCCCAAGUAAUCGAGACGAAGAAGAGUAGCGUCGCCGUGGAUGUGCACCUACCGUUUUCUUGUACCAUUUCUUGGAGAGGUAGAGGAAGUAGCCGUGGACGAUGAAGAGGAUGUAGACGAUGACGAAGAGGUGGUGGGAGUACCAGAAGGCGUUGAACCCGGUGAGCCGGUUGAAGGGCUUAGGCAAGCUGACCCGGCCGCGGCGGAACCACGGUGUGGCCAGAGUGAAGGCGAUGGCCAUCAGCACCACCAUCACCACCCCCGUCCACCCCUCCUUGC